Long non-coding RNA from Olea europaea var. sylvestris, 2643 nucleotides. RefSeq lists it as uncharacterized. The record is from RefSeq and is a predicted model, not a curated record. NCBI's taxonomy places the organism in Eukaryota, Viridiplantae, Streptophyta, Magnoliopsida, Lamiales, Oleaceae. The transcript has 7 exons.
CUCAAGAUGGAAGUAAAAUGGAUGCCUCUUCUGUACUUUUUACGAGUGUAAAAUCAGCCUGUGCAUGCGUUGCACCAAAAGGAGAUACACGGGCAAUCUAUUUGGGCACGCCAACUUGGUGGAGAGGUGAAGCACCAUGCUAGUGUGGAAGCCAUUAUGUCAAAAGAUGCAAUCUUGAUUAUAUACCGAUAUAUUAGCACGGUGCUUUCUGGUCUGUAAGUUGUACAGGUUCUAAAACUCAGAAGUGGAAACUCAUAGUGAGGAAUCUCCCAUUCAAGGCUGAAGCUGCUGAGAUAAAAGAUAUGUUUGCUUCUGUAGGAUGUGUGUGGGAAGUUUUUAUUCCUCAAAAUUCUGAGACUGGGUAGAUAUAUAAUGACAUGCAAUUAUUUGUAAUUCACUCCCAAUUUACUUAUGGUUUCAGUUUCAAGUUUGCACUCUUGAUUUAACUCUUGCAGGUUAAUUAAAGGAUUUGCAUUUGUUAAAUUCAUGUCGAAGGGGGAAGCUGUAUCUGUUCUUAAAUGCCGAAGCUAACCUUAUCCUUCUGGUGAUGCAAGCCCCCAGCCUUGAUUAGUAGCCUGACUGCUGCUUAACUAAGAAAUUUCAAGAGAUCAAAAAUGGAGAAAAAGACUAAAAUAGAUCAAUAUUCAGGAGAAUAUGGGUUGGAGAGAUCAUAAUUUAAGAGUAUCUUUGGGCAUGCUUCUUCUAGUCAGUCUGGGGCAUACUUAUUCUGAGAUUGAGAUCUCUUUUAUUAGAUCUAAUUUGGACUUUCUUGGGAUAUAUUAGUACGAGGAAAGAUGUUAUCAAUGUUAUUUGGCAAUGGAAGGAAUUUGAAAAUAUAAGAUUCUACAACCCACUUCCUGGGGUAUACUUUUUGUUUCUUAAAGCUCUGAAGAUAUGCAUUUUUAUAGCUUUAGGAACACCUUUGUAACACAUGUUGACAUCUAAGGUAAGAGCAUCUAUAUGACUCCUGGCCUUAGCUUGGCUGACCUUUAAAGAGCCUUCAAUACAUUUAAUUAGCCUUCAUUUCUAGAAUCAGCUUCCACUGGCGGAUGGUGAUUAUUACUCUGACACACUCAUUUACUCCAUAUACAGGCUAUCAAGAAAUUUAAUAGGAAACAAUUUGUUUAAAGACCCAUUGCUGUUGAUUGGGCUGUUCCAAAAUAGGUUUGUACAUCUGGCAGUAAUUCUGUUGCCGCCUUAGAGGACGGACAGCACGACACUGAUGGAGAAGAUGGCAGUAGUAGUGAUUCGGAGGAUGCUGAUUUGGAAGUCACAAAAAAAUCACAAUCUCAUAGUGUUGAUAAUGCAGCUGACGAGUUGGAUUCAGUUGAAGUAGAUGAUAGUACUUAUGAAGUUGAUUUUGACGUGGAAGCAGAAGUUGCAAGAAACGUACUCAAGAGGUUCAUUUCAUCAUCUUCUAGAAAUGCAGCCACUUCUGGUAAUGAUGACCCAGAGUCAUCUGAGGGGAAAAAGGGCAAUGAAAUUGUUCAAUUACAAGAUUAAUCAGUUAUGCAUCCAGUUCCCAUGGAGUAGAACAAGUGAAUGCUUUGGGAAGUGAACAAAUUUGUCCGACUGAAGCAGAGGACGACUUGCUCAGCACUGUUUUCAUAACCAAUCUUCCUUAUGACAUUGACAAUGAAGAAGUGAAACAAUGUUUCUCUGCAUUUGUUGAAGUGCAGUCUUUUUUUCCCGUUCUUCAUCAAGUGACCAAGUGACCCAGGGGGACUGGAUUUCUUAAGUUUAAAACAACAGAUGCUGCUAAUGCUGCAUUUUCAGUAGCCAAUGCUGUAUCUGGUUUAGGUAUCUUUCCUAAAAGGAAGACAGCUGAAAGUUCUUAGGACUUUGGACAAGAAAACAGCUCAGGAUAAGGCACUAGAGAAGGCCCAAAAAGAGGAUUGUGACCAACUUCUUUACCUGGCAAAGGAGGGUCUUAUCAUGGAAGGGACAACUGCUGCCGAAGGAGUUUCAGCAAGUGACAUGUCAAAGUGCAACAAGUAAAUGAGAUUCUUUCUAUUAGUAGCAGCAUAAUUGAAUGACAAAGCUUGCCUUUGCCAGUCGUAAGAGGCCCAUCUUGGUGGCCUGAAAUUCUUAUUUUAGUAGAAAGGUUCUGGGUUGGCUACUUCAUCCUGGGGUUUUUAGGGAACGUAAUGAAUUUGGCCAUCUCAUCUAUCCCUAUGAACAAAAUAUAAUCUUACAGAAUUCUAGGUUUUGUUUUGUUUUUUUCCUAAAAAAGUCUUAACAGUAUUUAGGCAGACUUGAACUUCAAAUCAACAGUUGUGUUCCUUGAGACCUUGACUAGUCAUUUGUGGGAUUCAAGGGCAGAGCUAUGACAGGCCCAGUGGGGGCACCUGCCCCACUGGGUAUUUUGGUUUUCUUAGAAAAUUGAAAUUCAGCCCUCUAUCUCCUAAGUUCCUAAUUUUUGAACUUGUCUUUGAAAACCCAGCCCAAGCAACGCUUAAGCCUAAAUUCCUAAUGGAUCCCAAAUUCCCAAUUAUCCAAUCCUAGUUUCUAAUCGGUAUUCUGGCUACGUUCCAGUAGAAGCCGCACUCAACAGUCCACACUCUUACAUUAUGGAGUUAAUUGUUCCAAUGGUUAUUGAACUUAGGUCCAUGUCUUUGAUUGGCCCCUGAACUUUAAAAUGUC